UACGUAGGGAGCUAGCGUUGUCCGGAAUCAUUGGGCGUAAAGCGCGCGUAGGCGGCCCGGUAAGUCCGCUGUGAAAGUCAAAGGCUCAACCUUUGAAUGUCAGCGGAUACUGCCGGGCUAGAGUCCGGAAGAGGCGAGUGGAACUCCUGGUGUAGCGGUGGAAUGCGCAGAUAUCAGGAAGAACACCAACGGCGAAGGCAGCUCGCUGGGACGGAACUGACGCUAAGGAGCGAAAGCGUGGGGAGCGAACAGG
This 253-nucleotide ribosomal RNA is filed under the name uncultured bacterium. Its description in RNAcentral is "partial 16S ribosomal RNA". It matches the Rfam family "Bacterial small subunit ribosomal RNA", at positions 524 to 776 of the family's 1533-position model. The record is from RNAcentral.